GACGAACGCUGGCGGCGUGCUUAACACAUGCAAGUCGAACGGAAAGGCCCUGCUUUUGUGGGGUGCUCGAGUGGCGAACGGGUGAGUAACACGUGAGUAACCUGCCCUUGACUUUGGGAUAACUUCAGGAAACUGGGGCUAAUACCGGAUAGGAGCUCCUGCUGCAUGGUGGGGGUUGGAAAGUUUCGGCGGUUGGGGAUGGACUCGCGGCUUAUCAGCUUGUUGGUGGGGUAGUGGCUUACCAAGGCUUUGACGGGUAGCCGGCCUGAGAGGGUGACCGGCCACAUUGGGACUGAGAUAGGGCCCAGAAUGCUACGGGAGGCAGCAGGGGGGAAUAUUGCACAAUGGGCGGAAGCCUGAUGCAGCAACGCCGCGUGCGGGAUGACGGCCUUCGGGUUGUAAACCGCUUUCGCCUGUGACGAAGCGUGAGUGACGGUAAUGGGUAAAGAAGCACCGGCUAACUACGUG
Molecule: ribosomal RNA, 468 nt
Filed under: uncultured bacterium
Lineage: Bacteria
Description: partial 16S ribosomal RNA
Rfam family: Bacterial small subunit ribosomal RNA
Source: RNAcentral